ACAAAAACAAAAACAAACCCUGAAGUAAAAAGUGUUAAUAUUCAUCCUUCUUUUAUGAAAAAAACGAAUAAAGUAUUCUGGCAAAGACCCAAUCUUUUUUUCUCAAUCGUUAGUUUGAAAAGAGAAAAAAAAAGAACACUUCCUUGAGGAUCCCAUUCAUUCCCUUCCAAAAAUACUUGCCAGAAGGCUAAAAAUCGUACCUCUUCAAUUCAGUGUUUCUUCCACGUCUAAGAGCAACCGGGUCCAAAAAAAUUCAGUCCUAAUAAGUUAACAACCCUUCAAAGAGGCCAACCCCACCUCGAAAACAUAGCCCUCUCGAUCAAUGUAAUGCAAUAGAGUCAUAGAGAGAGGGGGCUCGUGUUUUUUCUCUCUUACAUAUACCUAUAGGUAUAUAUAUUGAUUGAUGUAGAUAUAGAUCUGCCAUGGUGAUUUGGUUUUGUUUUAUAGAAUUCUUAGAAUUGUAGUGAGGUUUCAAAGAUGACUGGAGGUGGGGAAGCUUCCCAAAAGCGAAGCCCCAGGGAGUUAGCAUGCCAUGCUGGUGCUGGUGCCUCCGCAGGUGUUAUUGCAGCCACGUUUAUGUGCCCAUUGGAUGUGAUCAAGACAAGGUUACAAGUCCAUGGCUUGCCUCUCAAUUCAGGUCAAGGAGGUAGUAUCAUCAUCUCAAGUCUUCAACACAUUGUCAGAACUGAAGGUUUUAAGGGAUUGUAUCGUGGGCUCUCCCCAACAAUAAUGGCACUUCUUCCGAACUGGGCUGUGUAUUUCACAGUUUAUGAGCAAAUUAAAGGCAUCCUUUCAAAUGAGGAUGGGGAUAGCCAGCUCUCAGUUGGUGCAAACAUGGUAGCUGCUGCUGGUGCUGGGGCUGCAACAUCCAUUGCAACAAAUCCAUUGUGGGUUGUGAAAACCAGACUCCAGACGCAAGGAAUGAGGCCAGGUGUGGUUCCUUACAAAAGCAUACUUUCUGCUUUGAGGCGGAUUAAACAAGAGGAAGGCAUGCUAGGCUUGUAUAGUGGGAUUUUGCCUUCUUUGGCUGGGAUAAGUCAUGUUGCAAUUCAAUUUCCAGCAUAUGAAAAGAUCAAGUGUUACAUGGCAAAGAAGGGUAAUACAACUGUUAAUAAUUUAAGCCCUGGGGAUGUCGCAAUUGCCUCUUCAAUAUCCAAAGUACUUGCCUCUGUACUGACUUAUCCACAUGAGGUGGUACGUUCAAGACUUCAAGAGCAAGGGCAGCUCAGAAAUUCUGAGGCCCAUUAUGCCGGUGUUGUUGAUUGCAUUAAGAAAGUGUUCCAAAAGGAAGGUUUUCGUGGAUUUUACCGUGGCUGUGCAACUAACUUAAUGAGAACGACUCCGUCUGCUGUGAUUACAUUGACCAGUUAUGAGAUGAUACACAAGUUCUUCAAGGGCAUUCUGCUUCCUGACAAGAAGCAUUCACAUGCCCAGACUAAAUCCGAUGACCAUGCCAAACCUCAAUAGGCGAUCAAAGGAAAUGUUAAUAGUAGCAACACCGUUUCGGGGCAAUCAUAAACCCAACCAAAUAAGACUCCCUCUAUUCCUUUGGGAAACAAAGAGCAGCUACCUGCUGCGCACUGAUUGGUGCUGUUUCUUUACAACAUCCCUGUUGGGGAAAUUCUCAACAGAAAAUGAAAUGGACAAGUUAAACGUGAAGGCCGUUUAUACCUAGUUUAGUUUUCAAUGCCUGACUUCCGCUUUGGACGUUGGGGAUGAUCGAAGGAUUUAAUGAUGUGCAUUCGUGGACCAGGCAUUUUAGAUAUUUCCAUCCUGUUAACUUUACUUAGGGAGGCAAAAGGAUAUCAUGGUUAGAUUUGGAUGAGCAGGUGUUUAGAAUCUUGACUUGUAGUGUAUGCAUAUGUAUAUUUCGCUUGUUGUCAUGCUUGUAAUUUGUUAGUUCUUCAGAUCAA
RNA transcript from Populus nigra (black poplar), 1913 nucleotides. It is a transcript of the gene named nicotinamide adenine dinucleotide transporter 2, mitochondrial-like, with no coding region annotated. The transcript has 10 exons. The record is from RefSeq and is a predicted model, not a curated record. NCBI's taxonomy places the organism in Eukaryota, Viridiplantae, Streptophyta, Magnoliopsida, Malpighiales, Salicaceae.